UACGGAGGGUGCGAGCGUUAUCCGGAAUUACUGGGUUUAAAGGGUGCGUAGGCGGCCCUGUAAGUCAGAAGUGAAAGUUUGCGGCUCAACCGUAAAAUUGCUUUUGAUACUGCGGGGCUAGAAUUAGGAUGAGGUCAGCGGAAUGUGGCAUGUAGCGGUGAAAUGCAUAGAUAUGCCAUAGAACACCAAUUGCGAAGGCAGCUGGCUAGACCUGGAUUGACGCUGAGGCACGAAAGCGUGGGGAGCGAACAGG
Molecule: ribosomal RNA, 253 nt
Filed under: uncultured bacterium
Lineage: Bacteria
Description: partial 16S ribosomal RNA
Rfam family: Bacterial small subunit ribosomal RNA
Source: RNAcentral